UUUUGAUGUUAAUUUUUUGGCCUGAGUAGUACUAGUUAUGUUCUUGAAACUUAAAGAAUUUGGCGGUAUUUCAUUCUGUUCAGAGGAAUCUGCCUCGUUAUCGAUAAUCCACGUUGGACCUUACUUGGUUUAAUUUGUUUGUAUACCGCCGUUAUAAUGAAGAUCUUUUUAGAGUUUAUUUUAAUUUUCUUCUUUCACAACUUUGGUUUAUUUCAGGUCAAGGUGCAGCUUAUGGUCAAGUGUUUGGUGGAUUACAUUUAUGGAUUUAUUAUCGGAUCACUGGUUGUAAUUUUGGUGUGAAGUUGGAUUUGAUUGUAACUGAUUGAAGUUUGUUUUGGUGAUUUAUGUUUUGUAAUAUGC
Molecule: ribosomal RNA, 360 nt
Filed under: Microhodotermes viator
Lineage: Eukaryota; Metazoa; Arthropoda; Insecta; Blattodea; Hodotermitidae
Description: partial 12S ribosomal RNA
Source: RNAcentral